RNAcentral lists this unclassified non-coding RNA (434 nucleotides) under Zea mays. RNAcentral's name for it is "misc RNA Zm00001eb187360". Lineage: Eukaryota; Viridiplantae; Streptophyta; Magnoliopsida; Poales; Poaceae. The record is from RNAcentral.
GAGAGAUCCAGGAAGAGCUCCCCUCCACUGGCUUCCCCGCCCUCCUCCCAGUAAUCACGCCUCCUCCCAAGCGUCCCAACCGUGGUCGGGUCACUGGGUUCGGCGCUGGUCCUGGUCUUGGUCCAGACCCUCCCAUGGCGUCGACGGAGCAGGAGGUGGCGGUCGACGCGGCCGCCGUCGUGGAGGAAGUGACGCGACAGCAGGGCAAAGGGUGCGGCGUCGCAGGAGGAGGGGAUACUGUUGUGUCCUCGAGGAACAUCGACAUUGCCUGGAGCAAGGCGGAUGAAGCUGAAGUGACAAGUUGGAGAGGGCGAUGAUGAGUCACUCAGCUGAAUUACUCCGGGAUGGCAUAUCAUGGAGCAAAUAGGUCUUGAUUUUUCUCUAGAACCCACUGAAACACUCUUACCAGAGGAUGGCGCGCGGGGAGGGCGGCG